RNAcentral lists this ribosomal RNA (773 nucleotides) under uncultured Neocallimastigales. RNAcentral describes it as "partial large subunit ribosomal RNA". It matches the Rfam family "Eukaryotic large subunit ribosomal RNA", at positions 26 to 611 of the family's 3401-position model. The record is from RNAcentral. Lineage: Eukaryota; Fungi; Neocallimastigomycota; Neocallimastigomycetes; Neocallimastigales.
CGCAUCUGUGCAUGCAGCAUAUCAAUAAGCGGAGGAAAAGAAACUAACAAGGAUUCCCCUAGUAACGGCGAGUGAAGCGGGAAGAGCUCAAAUUUGAAAUCUUAAAGGGUUUCCUUUACGAAUUGUAGUUUAAAGAAGUGUUUUCUGUUGAGGUUUUGGUAAAAGUUCUUUGGAAUAGGACAUCAUAGAGGGUGAGAAUCCCGUAUUUGACCUUUACUUUCAACUUUGUGAUACACUUUCAAAGAGUCGGAUUGUUUGGGAAUGCAGUCCAAAAUGGGUGGUAAAUUUCAUCUAAAGCUAAAUAUUGGCGAGAGACCGAUAGCGAACAAGUACCGUGAGGGAAAGAUGAAAAGAACUUUGAAAAGAGAGUUAAACAGUACGUGAAAUUGUCAAAAGGGAAGCGUUUGACACCAGUGUUGUUUUUCUGAAAAUCAAUUAAAGAACUGUUUAUGCUAAGUUGUUUAGACUUUAUCAGCUAACUGUUUAGUUUUGAGCUUUUCUUUAAUGCACUUUUCAGUUAACAAGUCAACAUCAAUUUCUUUUGCUGUAAAAAAGCUUGAGGAAGGUGGCUUGAGAUUCGUCUUAAGUGUUUAUAGCCUCUUGCCUAUGCAGUCGGAGAGAUUGAGGUCUGCAGCGUAGAUCCUUCGGGGCUAAAUGCAUUUGUGCUAAGUUAUAGCAUUUUAUAGACAACUUGUUGACUAUGAUUUGUCUUGUAGCUUACUCGCUUAUGUUAUUUUACCUACGCUUAGGAUGUUGAACGCGCACAGAGUCUC